UAGAUGAAAUGUCUCCAUCAUGGUCAUCGUGAAGGUUCCCUAAGUUCACGUGACGGAAUGAAGUUAGCAAUUUUUUCCGUGCAGAAGUCAGAUCAGCUACACUUUGAUCAUCCAACAGCUCAACCAGCACAAUGCACCACAAAAAAUCUCCCUGCUCAUGACCUAAACGUAAUUCGAAUGAAUUUGGGAAAUUUUGGGAAAGAUUUAAUAGGAAUGUGAGGGGCUUUUUAUUUACACAUAGAGUGGUGGGUAUAUGGAACAGGUGCCAAAGGCGGUAGUUGAGGCAAAUACUACAACCACAUUUGCACAGGUAUAUGGAUAGAAAAGGUUUAGAGGGACAUGGGUCACAUGUGGGCAGUUGGGAUUAGGGUAGAUGGGUCACCUUGGUGGGCAAAUUGGAUCAAACGGCCUGAGUCCAUGCUGUAUGACUCUGACGAACAGAACACAACUGUGUGAUUCUGGACUGUGCUAUCUCCAACUAAUUCAUUCACAACAACUCAGCAUCGUUGGCUUGGCUAGCAUGUAUUGCUCAUCUAUAGCUACCCUCAAACUGGCUGACAUGGUCAGGGAUCCCAUAAUGGGCAAGUGGAAACAUUUACUUAACAAGGCCCUUUACUUAACAAGGCCCUGUUCCGAACUCAGAGAAACGAUCAUGGUGUUAUCUUCGGUCACUUUUUCAGGCCAAGUAUUGCCUGAGGACAUUUGUCUAUAACUCUUUGUGGCAGCCUUGUUACAGA
Amblyraja radiata (thorny skate) is the source of this 737-nucleotide long non-coding RNA. RefSeq lists it as uncharacterized. The record is from RefSeq and is a predicted model, not a curated record. The transcript is spliced from 2 exons. Lineage: Eukaryota; Metazoa; Chordata; Chondrichthyes; Rajiformes; Rajidae.